UUGUACUUGAUUAGACGUAGAAAGUCUCUGGAGGAAAAUUAAUGUUGUCCUGUUGCUUUGUUGUUUUUUUUAUUUUUAUUGUGAAUGUGUGGAAUAAAUAAACAAACAGAAGAAUGCAAAUCUCAAACAAAUAAUCAAAAGUGGCCGCCUUUCACGGUUACCCUCUCCAAAUUAGAUAAAUGCACAGUGAGAUGUUUUCAAAUUGUAUAAACAUUACUACACAUUAGGCAUAUCAGCAAACACAGUGCUUUGAAGUCUGCAUGUGAGAAGUACACAGUAGAUACAUCCUACAUCCUGAUAUUUACUCUAUGAUAUUUCCCCCCCCAAAUGGGCUGAGCUUUCCUGAGUCAGGCCAUCUCCGUGCAACCAUUUAGAGAGCUGUUUGUAGACAAUGGCCAGUUACAUAGGUGUCGUAUUUCAAUAUUUACACUUCAUGAUGCGUGAGCAGGAAAUCCUUCUGAAGAGAAAAGAAAUGCAAGGUAAAACUUGGAAGUUAACAAGGAUUCAGGCAUUUCCUCAAGUAGAUGGAUGAGAAAAUGAGACCAUGCAAAAAAUAGCACAGUAGGUUUUAUCUAUCAACUGGUCUGCAGCUCCUUGUGAGCACGCUCUGCUGUUAGAUUAAAAACAAAAUAUAUAUAAACAUUUGAACUUUUCAGGAGCUGAAAGGCAGCCUGGUUAAUAGCUUCACCCCGGUGUGUGUUUGAGUUUAAUAUCACUUUUAUUGGCCCAUGGAUGCAAGAAUAUUCCAGUGCAUCAGAAGGUCAGGUAGCUUUUAUGACAACUGCAGUUAGAGAAUUUAGUUUGCUGGUCUUUUUGUUGUAAAAAGCUUAUUAAAUGCAACAGAACAGUUGUUACAGAAUAAUCAAAUAUGUUGUCAUUAUUUGCAGUAGUGCCUCUGUUAUUGGUUUUACAAAUUGCUUAUAUGCUGAUGUCUUUUAUGUGUCAUCAUAUUUGUGCUUAUGUGCUCUGCUUUUAUGUGGUUAAUGCUUUUGUGUAUUAUCUAUGCUCCUGUGUUUUCUGUUGUGCUUAUGUACCUGUCUGUAUUUUGAUAUUUUCUGUAACGCCAUCAACCCGCCAGGGACUGCAGAUGAAAAUUAGUCUGUAUGGUUUAAUCUGGUACAAUUACAUAUUGGACUUUAUUUGAUUAGUUUGCACUGUCCCUUUUUAAAUAGACAAGCAAAACAAACAAACAAACAAACAACAUACUUAAAUGGCAGGCCCACACUGGCACUUUUUAAGUGGAUACACACAAACAGAAGUUCAAAUUUCAACAAAUACAGUAUAUCUCAAUAUGGGUGCUAGUUUUGAUGCAUGCUGAAGUUUUAAAAAUAGGAACAGAAAAUUCAGAUAAUCAGCAGGAGAGAACCCGCCCCCCGCCAGACCCGACCCUUUGCCUUUGCAGGUCACUGUAUGUCGCUCAGUCUGACUUAGGAAUGUGGGAGAAAGCUGUUAAAACGCUUUGUUGGGAGUCUCUGGGUCACAUGAGGACACUUCAUUGUCAAUCCAAUGCUGGAAAUUCCUCAGAGACAUGGCGCUGUACGGACGUAACAUGGUCAUGACGUCAUUAUCCAUUCAUAUAUCCACAUUGCUGCCUCAGAGCUGACAGCAAGAGGAACCUAUAAGCAAGAGGAAGAGGCUCAGGAUGACUGUGAUCACUACACAAGCUCCAAAAUCUUACUGGAAGCUGUAGUAGCUGGCAUCUAAAUACCAGUACACUUUUAAAAAUAUACCGUUUGUCUUUAAUUUAGUAAGAGCUUACAAAAAUAGGUGCUUACGCUUCAACUACUCCAUCAGCAACAGUAAUCCUGAGCACACAAAGACCCGAAGCUGCCUGUGAUGGUUUCAGAUCACAAAUGUGCUUUCAAAUGUCACUGUUUUAUAGCUGCAUUCAAGCUGGCUGUGUCGCUGGCAAGCACACUGAAACAGCGCAUUAGACAGUUCACUGACUGCAUUGAAACUGUUUACUAAGUUAGUUUGUUACUAUAAAUAGGGGACAUCAGUGUUGAAAAAGGGGAAACAGAAGUCUCUCUGUCCCAGCAGUGUUUUCUCUAGUGUUUGAGCAGCAGGGGAGUCUGGGGAUCUGAACUCAGGCUAAUUAGCUAAUUCAUCAGCCCUGAAGGGAAUGACAUGUGAUUAAAUCCAUCAACAACCACUUUCCACGCAAGAUAAGUUAUCAAGAAUAAAUUUAGGAAACUACCUAUGUGAAAAGUACAUAUCAGUUUUUGUAAACUGACAAAGUGAAAAACCAAAAGAUAGUUGAUUAGUACAUUAAGCUAAUAUAACUAGCUAUAAGUAGGCCAACAUUUACCUGAGUACUGUACCUAACUACAAAUUUGAGGUACUUAUAUUUUACUUACUAGUAUUUCCAUUCCAUUGUACUUUAUACCAGGCAAAUAUUGUACUUUUUAUGCCACUAACCACUUUUUUUUUUCUUUUACAAUUAGCAGAUUUUACAUUGAAAACACAAUCAUCUUAUACAAUAGCAUGCUCUGAAAUGGAUUGAAGUAGGCUACAUAAAAGUAAAUAAAGCAGUUAACAUUAGCUCCAUUUCUACCACCUAUGUAGCCUAUAACAAUAUCACAGUACUUUACUAAGUCUAAGUACAUUUGGCUGAUAAUACUUUUACCUGGAAUAUUUUGAAUGCAGCACUUUUAUCUGUGGAGUCCAUUGUGGUUUUGCUAAUUAAACUCACAUAAAGGACUUAAAUAGGAUCUUCCACCACUGCAUUUAAGUUGUAUUUAAGUAGCAUAUCCCAGCAAUUAAAGAUAUUUUAUUAACAGUGAUUAAGCCUACACAGGUUGGUUGCAUUGGCUCUGGUUCAGGGUGCCAUGAACUAAACUGCAAAUUGUCUAACAAGGAGAGCCCCCUAGUGCUGAAAUAGGCCCACACGCGCAGGAGGGUCCACACAGAGCAACUGGGACUCAUUUUAAUGACUUUUAGAAAUGUGCUCCUCGGUUGUGCACUCAUAGUGUAAAAUGAGAGAAACAGUUAGGCUAGACUACUAACGUUAACUGGGUACAAAGAGAGGUUGCAGACCAAGUAUCUGAAAGCCCCAACAAGCAAGACUUCCUCAGUCGGCAGUUUUGUAAACGUGAGCCUCGAUGACUUCAGUGAUUGCUCGUCAUUCUUAUCAGGGGUCCAGGGAGGUGUCUCACCGGUUAUUUUCCAUGGCACUCCAAACCACGACUCCAGACAAAAGCCUAGAAAGUGCAUCUCUAAGGAGCACGCUUGCUUCUCAAAGCAGAUGACCCAAAAGCAGAUUCGCAGAGAAUAUGUGGCUGCUGUGGAGGAAAGACUCAAACAGCAUCCUCUCGCUAUGUUCCCACACUAUAAAGCUCACAUGAAACCAGAGUUAUUUGAUAAGGUGGUAUCCGUGUUGGACCCCGAAAUGUGCGGAUACAGUGCCUCUGCACUCCCUACUCCUACAGGAAACCAUGCGGAGGAGGUAGAUGAGAAAAACUGUACAGAGCCAAGUAAGAAAGAAGUGGAAAGAGCAAAACAUGGAACGUCUGCCAAUAAAAUGCAAGUACACUUGCAAUUUGAUGAUUAAUAGUAUUAAUAUAAUCUAAAUUUGAUCCAUUGUUCACUUAACCUGAUUGUGGAAAAUAAACAAGCAAUUCCUUUGUUGAAAUAAAAGCUGAAAUUC
This is an RNA transcript of Micropterus salmoides (largemouth bass), 3646 nucleotides long. RefSeq lists it as uncharacterized. NCBI's taxonomy places the organism in Eukaryota, Metazoa, Chordata, Actinopteri, Centrarchiformes, Centrarchidae. The transcript has 3 exons. The record is from RefSeq and is a predicted model, not a curated record.